This 76-nucleotide transfer RNA is filed under the name Deltaproteobacteria bacterium RIFOXYD12_FULL_50_9. RNAcentral describes it as "tRNA-Ala". It matches the Rfam family "tRNA". Rfam says of the family: Transfer RNA (tRNA) molecules are approximately 80 nucleotides in length. Their secondary structure includes four short double-helical elements and three loops (D, anti-codon, and T loops). Further hydrogen bonds mediate the characteristic L-shaped molecular structure. tRNAs have two regions of fundamental functional importance: the anti-codon, which is responsible for specific mRNA codon recognition, and the 3' end, to which the tRNAs corresponding amino acid is attached (by aminoacyl-tRNA synthetases). tRNAs cope with the degeneracy of the genetic code in two manners: having more than one tRNA (with a specific anti-codon) for a particular amino acid; and 'wobble' base-pairing, i.e. permitting non-standard base-pairing at the 3rd anti-codon position. Lineage: Bacteria; Deltaproteobacteria. The record is from RNAcentral.
GGGGCUGUAGCUCAGCUGGGAGAGCGGUACGUUCGCAACGUAUAGGCCGUCGGUUCGAUCCCGAUCAGCUCCACCA